GACGAACGCUGGCGGCGUGCUUAACACAUGCAAGUCGAACGGUGAAGCUCCAGCUUGCUGGAGUGGAUCAGUGGCGAACGGGUGAGUAACACGUGAGCAACCUGCCCCUGACUCUGGAAUAAGCGCUGGAAACGGCGUCUAAUACUGGAUACGAGAAGGGUCCGCAUGGGCACUUUCUGGAAAGUUUUUCGGUUGGGGAUGGGCUCGCGGCCUAUCAGCUUGUUGGUGAGGUAAUGGCUCACCAAGGCGACGACGGGUAGCCGGCCUGAGAGGGCGACCGGCCACACUGGGACUGAGACACGGCCCAGACUCCUACGGGAGGCAGCAGUGGGGAAUAUUGCACAAUGGGCGAAAGCCUGAUGCAGCGACGCCGCGUGAGGGAUGACGGCCUUCGGGUUGUAAACCUCUUUCAGCAUGGAAGAAGCGAAAGUGACGGUACCUGCAGAAGAAGCACCGGCUAACUACGUG
RNAcentral lists this ribosomal RNA (468 nucleotides) under uncultured bacterium. RNAcentral's name for it is "partial 16S ribosomal RNA". It matches the Rfam family "Bacterial small subunit ribosomal RNA", at positions 28 to 507 of the family's 1533-position model. The record is from RNAcentral.